RNAcentral lists this long non-coding RNA (1924 nucleotides) under Homo sapiens (human). Its description in RNAcentral is "long non-coding RNA NONHSAT195880.1". The record is from RNAcentral. Lineage: Eukaryota; Metazoa; Chordata; Mammalia; Primates; Hominidae.
CCCUUUUAUCACUGAGGUUCACAAUUUUGUAUCUUCUGAAUCUUAAGUUCCUUAAUCAGCACGAGACAAGGAGAUAAAAACACAUUGCUGCAAUCACGGGGGUGAGUCAGUAAUUAUCAUCGAAGAGUACAAUUGAAAACACAUUUUAUUUAAAUAUUUAUCUUAGAGAACUGCUGUUUGAGAGUUUACAGUGCUUCUAGCGGGUGCAGCGGUUUGGGAGCCAGUGACCUCUCAUUUCUGGCUCUUUUGAUGACUGUAGGAGCCUGGAAGUUUUCUUCCUGGACUCCAUCUUCCCCAGCGGUGCUAGUCGCAUGGUAAUGACUUGAUACAUUUUUAUGAAAUGAAUAAACUGUAAAAUUGGAACAGAACAGCCCAUGGAGAGAUGAAGGAUAUGAAUGAAAUGACAUUUAAAACAAUUUUGAGUCUUAAAGGUAGAGAGCAUCCUGGAUUCUCCCCACUUUGAGUGGAGUAUAAAUUUAAGAGCCUGUGAUUUUGUGCAGCAUAGGGAUUGUAAAUAUCCCCAAAUUACAUAAGUAUGCCUUUUUUUCUUUACAAUGUCAGAUAUAGAAUUUUGUGGGCUCUUCAAAGUAGAGGAUGCUCUAUACACAAAGGAGUUUGUUCUUUGAAUUAUCUUUUAUUUAUUGACAGCUGGGGUGAUGCAGGGCUGUUUCCUGUGUUAAGAGAGUGUCAGUUACUUAGCUAAUCAUAUUUAUCACCCAGGAUUCUUUAUUUGUUGAUAGCACUGGAGUAUAUUGGAGUUUUUGUGUGCUACGUGUAUAUUUCCCUAGCUGCAGUGAAUGUGGUUUUUAUAUUUAUGUGAAACUGCUAAUGUGUUGCUCGCUAGAUCAUGAGCAAUGGGCUUCUGACAGCUCUGUUCAUUAGUCAGCUUGGGGGAAAAAAUAAAAGAAAACACAUUGAUAUAGAAACAGAGUGUGAGCCAGCAAUUAUCAUCAGAGAGCACAAUUGAAGCCACAUUUUAUUUAAAUAUUUAUCUUGUGAAUUGAUUCAUACAAAACAAGAAGCUGUUUUUUAUUUAUGAAUGGCUUCACCGCCGAAAUUUGAAGAGCAGGAACGCUAUUCGAGUUGGGUUUGAUGCAGUCCACAGCUCAGAGUAAGGAGAGCUAAAUAACGUCAAAUUAUUCAUUGUGAUAUAUCAUUAAGAUUGUUAUGUGUGAAUGUGUAGAAAGAUGAUAACACCGUGCAGCUGUUCACUUCAGAAUCCCAACUUUGCAUAGUAAGAAGAAGAAGAAAAAAAGCUCAUGGAUAACUUUUAGUAUCAAUAAUAAUAGCAAGUGUUUACAGAUGCUAGAUAAUUUUUACUACCAAUAAUAAUAAUAGCAAAUGUUACAGAUGUUAACCACCUGCGAAUUGCUCUUCUAAAUGCAUUAUAUGUGUUAACCCUAUCAAGUACUCUUUUUACCCCCGCGUUACACAACAAGGUUAAAACAUUUAGCAAAGUUUGCAUUAGAGUGAAGUACCAUUUAUAGGACAGGAUUUCUGGGGGUGCCGCUGAAAGACCUGACUACUUGCCAGUUCCAGUUCCUUUCUGGCACCUCUUAAUGGUGAUUGGUCACUACAGCGUCAAUAUUAAUGGGGAGGAUUCUGGGUCCUGUGUCUUGCUAGGAUUUCCAGGGACGGCAAUUCCAGAAGUUUUCCGAUUAGUUGGCAUCCGUUUAUUUAGCUCACCUUUGUUUGACAGUUAGAUUGUGGACAGGAGGCGGGCGUGGUGGCUCACGCAUGUAAUCCCAGCACUUUGGAAGGCCGAGGCAGGCAAAUCACUGGAGGUCUGGAGUUCAAGACCAUUCUGGCCAACAUGGAGAAACCCCGUCUCUACUGCAAAUACAAAAAAUUAGUUGGGUGUGGUGGUGCAUGCCUGUAAUUCUAGUUACUCGGGAGGCUGAGGCAGGAGAAUAGCUUGAAUCCA